GAGGAUAUUUCUAAGCUAACCAUCAGGGACCGAAUAGCUGGACUGUAAAAAUUUCACAGCUGAAUCAUUCUUUUUUCAUUCUUACGUUCUUUUCUUCUGUAAGAUCCAGUGCAGCUCACGAAGCAGAAGCAAGCAGAAUGCAAGGAACCUUCGCCUUAGUUUUGGAGUAUCAGCCCCAGUGAGAAGAGCAAAUAUUCAAAACGGCAAAAGAAGACCAGAAAACUGAAACUGUGCUGAAGGAGGUGGUUAAAUCUCUGGCCUUUUUGAGUGUUCAGCACCCUCAUAUUGCCCUCCCUGCACUGUGCACAGGGUCUCAUCUCCAUCCCUUGCCUGGCAAUUGUGGAGAUGGGGCUGGGUGUCCUUGUGCUCUGUCUCUGUACUCUGAGCUGCCUGGAGCUGCUAGUUGUAGUGGAGGCUGCAGUGCCCCUGGAGGACUUCUACCCAUUUGGCCUGGAUGAAGGGGAUUCCCUAACCAACAAGCAAGAUGAUGGUGGCUCUGGGCUUGUACUAAUCUCUGUGGAAAUGCCCUUCUUUGGUGACAGACACACAGGACUGUAUGUCAACAACAAUGGCCUAGUUUCAUUCCUGAGAGAGGUGUCUCAGUUUACACCUGUUGUCUUCCCCAUCUCUGGAGAUCGAAGAGUGGUUGCCCCCUUUUGGGCAGAUGUGGACAACAGACAUGCAGGGCAGGUCUUCUACAGAGAGACCAAGGACCCAGCCAUUCUUCAGAGAGCCACCAAUGACGUCAGCCAGCAUUUCCCAGAGUUCCCCAGUUUCACUACCUCCUGGGUCUUCAUUGCUACCUGGCAUCAAGUUACCUUCUUUGGAGGCAGUUCCUUAACACCGGUAAACACAUUCCAAGUCAUUCUCAUCACUGACGAAGAGCUGUCCUUCACCAUCUUUCAUUACCAUAAUAUUACAUGGACUACUGGAAUGCAUGCUAGCAGUGGAGGAGACCUUGUAGGCCUUGGUGGAAUUGCAGCACAGGCAGGCUUCAAUGCAGGCGAUGGUCAGCGCUACUUUAAUAUACCAGGCUCUCGUACCAGUGAUGUGGUAGAUGUGGAGAGCACCACUAAUGUGGGCUACCCUGGGCGCUGGGUCUUCCGCAUUGAUGAUGCACUGGUGCGUGUGGGUGGCUGCAACCAUUCAGCAUUUGUGUGCCAGAACCUGAGGCCCUGCAUGAAUGGAGGACGUUGCAUCGAUGACUGCAUCACAGGAAACCCAUCCUUCAGCUGCUCCUGCCUGGCUGGCUUCACCGGAAGGACGUGCCAGAUAGAUGUGGAUGAAUGUGCCUCACACCCCUGUCAAAAUGGUGGCUUGUGCAAAGACCAGACAAAUAGCUACACCUGCGUGUGUGGACCGGGCUACAAGGGUCAGUUGUGUGAAAUAGACAUUGAUGAGUGCUUGGAAAGGCCUUGUCAGAACAAAGCACAGUGUGUCCAAGGCGUGGGCAAUUUCACCUGUCUGUGUGCUGCAGGCUUCACUGGGCCACUGUGUGAGACAGAUGUUAACGAAUGCGAAUCCGAGCCAUGUCUGAAUGGGGGAGAAUGUGUCGACUGGUUGAACAACUAUACUUGUACCUGCCCUGCCUCCUUCACUGGAAUGCACUGUGAAACAGAAAUCGAGAUUCAGGGGAAUUUCUCAUUGGCUGUAACUGAAAGACUAACAGAGGAGUGCCAAUGUCAAAACGGGGGUGUAUGUGUGGAUGUAAGUGGUAGCUGUGACUGCCCAUCCAGGUACACUGGAGUAUACUGCCAGUUUGAGGUCACUCAGACCCCAUGCAGCAGCAGCAGCCCAUGUCCAGAUGGGGGGCCUUGCCUGGAGUAUCAGGGCACCUACCUGUGCACCUGCCAGACUGGAAUGACUGACAUAGAUCACAGGCACUUCUACCCCUUUGUGCAGACGCAAGCAGUCUGCGACUCCUCCCCCUGUCUGAAUGGAGGCUUCUGCUAUGAGCGGGAUGGGGGCUACACAUGUGAAUGCCAACAUGGAUACAGGGGGAGGCAUUGUGAGAAAGCCAGAUUGAGUGUCUGUGCCUCCAGCCCCUGUCGUAACGGCGGCUCCUGCAUAGAGGAGGCGGGACAGUACUACUGUCUGUGUCCCUACAGGUUCACAGGGAAGCAUUGUGAAGUUGGAAAACCGGACCCUUGCUCAUCCAGCCCCUGUCUAAAUGGGGGCACCUGUUUUCACUACAUUGGAAAGUACAAGUGUGAAUGUCCUACUGGCUAUGGUGGAAGGCACUGUGAAGUAAGCAGAGCUGCAGCCCAAACACUGACAAGGCUGGAUUGUGGGCCACCUGCUCAAGUGAAGAAUGCAGAUGUACAGUUCACCUCCAGCACGCCUGGCUCCAUAGCACUGUACACCUGCCACCGUGGAUACAUGCCCCAACCUCAGGCCACACAGAGUAUAUGCGGGAGCCAGGGGGCCUGGAGCCAGCCCCCUGUCUGCAAGGAGAUCAAUGAGUGUCUGUCCCAGCCCUGUCUCAAUGGGGGCACCUGCCAAGACCGGGUGGCAUCCUACCUCUGUUAUUGUGCCAAUGGCUUCAACGGGCUACGCUGCCAGACAGAUGAGAAUGAGUGCCUUUCGAAACCCUGCAAACAUGGAGGCAUCUGUGUUGACCAGCCUGGCUCAUACUACUGCCACUGCCCACAGGGCUUUGCCGGACGGGACUGUGACACAGAACUGACAGGAUGUGAAUCAAACCCUUGUCUGAAUGGAGGGAUGUGCAGAGGCUACAUGGGAAGUCGACUGUGUCUGUGCAAGGAUGGUUUCAUUGGAAAAUUUUGCCAGACUUUGGAGAAUCCCUGUGUACUGCAGCCCUGUGGAAACCGAGGCUUCUGCUACACUGACCAGAAGGGGAACUACACUUGCACCUGCAGGGUGGGUCACACUGGAAAAGACUGUGAAAAAGAUCUGUUGCCACCGUCCGGCCUGCAUGUGCUGAGGGUAGAGGAAUCAGAGGUAGAGCUGCGCUGGGACCUGCCAUACUCCCCAGAGAAGCUCAUCAGUGGCUUUGCUGUGACGUAUGCGCCACUAGGCCGUGGUGCCCGCAAGACAGACUUCCUGGACAGGCAGCAGUCCAGUCACCUGCUACGUGGCCUCAUACCUGGUCACCUCUACAACAUCUCAACCUUCUCUGUCAAGCGCAACAACAACAGCAAUGACAUCAGUCAGCCUGCUGUUGCCUUUAUUCGCACUAGGCCCCGGAAAGUGGAGGAGCUGCAGGUGGUAAAUGUGUCAUCCUCGCAGAUCUGGCUGAGCUGGCGGGUGCAAACAGCCCCCCACUCUGCCGUCAGCCAGGUGCGCGUGUCACUCGUCCCAUCGGAUGGUGGUGGGGCACACAUUGCCCUGCUAAAUGCAAGCAGCACUGAGUACAGCUUCAGUUCCCUUCUCCCAGGCCACAUGUAUACUGUGGAUGUUCAGACGCAAAGUGGGUUGAGGCCAGAAGACCUACCUUCCACAAGCCACUCUGCUGGGCCCCUGCGUAUCUGGACCAGACCUUCACCCCCCCAGAACUUCUCCCUUGCUCAUGUGACUGCCACAUCAGUGCGGUUCAUCUGGGACAGUGACUCCCGUAGCCUCCCAGAUGGCUUUGUGGUGAACGUGACAUGGGGCCUGAAUAUGAGAAGUCGUUAUCUGCCCAGUGGAAAUGUGGGCUCUUACGUCGUGCAUGAUCUGGUCCCUGGGCAGCACUACCGGCUAGCACUGACAGCUGUCUACAACACUGACCAUCAGCAGAUACACAGCCUGCCUCUGACCUUGGCUUUCCAAACCUUACCAUUGGAGCAGGAGCUGAGCGAGAAGGUGAAGCCCACAGAGACUCAGCUGGAGUCGCAGCUGUCUGGGCCCAUACACAGUGCUUUGGAACACGACCUGCAUGGGGCCACUCAUCUGGAGAACCUGUCUAAAUAUACUGAGCUAAUUGAUGGCAGAGGGAAGAUAACAGCCAAGUUCACUAACUUGUCCAAAAAUACCAUCAGGUAUCGUGCAAAACCUGAGCCCGUAAUAGAGAGAAUGGAAGAAACAACCAAUAAAAUCAACUUGGCACUAGAAAUUCCAGAGGACAACACAAAGGGAAAGCCUGUCUGCCAGCGAGUUCCACACCCCUGUACCCGACUUUAUUCAGAGACAAAAAGUAUUCCCAUCUGGGAAGGAGGAGCCUGCCAUUAUUUGUAUUCUACAAGAGAAUCCAUCUAAAAGUUGGAUAAUUGAAUUGGACAUUUUUCAGGUUGGUCCUUCAGUAUGACAAUGGUGAGUCCUUGUUUCCCUUAUCGCUCUGCACCAAAGGUCCUUUAAAUGUAGGGUUUACCUAAUACUACUAAAUUUAACUGAUGUUAACUAAAGCUUAUUGAAUAGUAUUUUUGGAUUUAAACAGUGAACUAUGUACGGCUACAGUUUUUUGCAUAUUCAUAAAGUAUGUGUGGCAUCCAAAUAUAACAAUUAUAUAACACUACUUAAAACUAGGGCACUUAAAAACUGUUUGUACAUUCUGUCUGCAUGUGAGGUUGUGCUGUGUCUGACAGUUGCCCAUAGUAAAUUGGAGACUGAUGUCUCUUAUUAUGCCUUGUUGUUUGGGGACAUGGAUUGUACCUGGGGGGUGGGGGGUGGGAUGUAUUUUUUUCUCUCUCCUGCCAUUUUGAAUAUGAUGGCUAUCUGUUUAAUAUUUAAGUUAACAUGCCAGGUUUAUAUGCCUGUUAUGAUUACAUGGAAUAUCAAAUGGCUAGGCCAUGCAAACAAAUUGAAAAGGGUCCUUACAUUCUAAAAAAAAGAACAAGCUAAUGUAGUGAUGCUGCAAGAUACUCACUUAUCUAAUGUAGAGCAUCAAAAACUGAAGAAAGAUCGGGUUGGCUAGGUCUAUUUUUCAAGCUUUACUACACAAAAAGGGGCACUGUCACAGUUAUCCAUAAAAAUCUCUCCUUUCUACUUACAGACCAACAUAUAUAUGAGAAAGGAAGGAUUGUACUGAUUCAUGGCGUGCUAUAUGGGCAGGAGAUUACAAUCCUGAAUAUUUACGCUCCUAACAAUGAUUCCCCCAGAAGAGUUAUUGCCCUACACCUAACCUAACCUCUGGCAGGACUAGAGUAACUAUGACAGCCUGGCUAAAAGAGAGACCUGGAAGGAAGCACAGACAUGAGGGUUACCAGGGGUUUUGGCAUCCCCUUAUGCCUACAGUAUGUUGAAGCCUAUGCAGGAGAAUGGCAUGGUCUGUAGUAUCAAAAGCAGCACUAAGGUCAAGCAGCAUUAGGAGCGAGGCACAGCCUUGGUCGGCAGACAGAAGAAGGUCAUUUACUACCCUGACUAGAGCUGUCUCUCUGCUAUGAUGAGCUCUAAACCCAAACUGAAAUCUCUCAUUAAUCUGGUUCUCCUGCAGAAAUGAUGUUAGUUAACUAGCUACAACUCGCUCUAUUAUUUUAGAUAGAGGGUAGAUUAGAGAUUGGUCUAUAGUUUGUCAUUUCCAAGGGAUCCAAGUUUGAUUUCUCCUAUAGAGGUUUAAUUACCGCUAGUUUUAGAGAUUUUGGUAGAUAGCCGAUGCUGAUUGAGGAGUUGACUAUUGCUAGUAGCGGUUCAAUCAAUGCUGGAAGCAUAUCUUUGAAUAAUUUUGUUGGAACAGGAUAUAGCAAGAAGUAGAUGAAUUUGAAGAUAAAAUUAAUCAGUUCUGACUGGUUAACCCUGGUAAAUUCUUCAAAUAGGGUGGUUGCAGCAUUAGCAUACGCCGUGUCGAGGCCAGAGAAUGUAGUUAUUGGAAUAUUUAAAAUGUUCUGUCAAAUUGAGCAUAUUUUUUGGUCAAAAAAUUUCAUAAACUCAUCACUGGGAAGGACAUCAAGUGUCCUUGAAACUGCAAUCUCAAAGCAAAUUCUGUUUGCCUGUUGUACUGAAAUUGCACCAAACUGUGAACCCAAAACCCAGGUGUGUACCGCACCGUGACUAUUGUGUACCGUUACAACUCUAGUAAAGAUUGUAUUUUAUAUUAAAGAGUCUUUAAUUGAGCAAUUCUUUAACGUUAUGUUGAGGGUCGUUGUCUCGCACAUGUAGCUGCGGAUUUACGGUCAUCCAACAAUCAAGGUAUCGAGAAAGAUGUUCACAGAUGUUAAUGGUAUCGGCACAAUAUUUUACCGCGGAAAAUAUUGCAGAUGGAUCUACUCAUGUCUAGGUGUCUGUUUACUUUAUAGAAUCCAAAGCUUGCCCAAAAUAAACUGAGACAAUACUGGAAAAGCCUCUGCACACAUUUGCUCAUUUAUGUUAGCACACACUCACAUGUGUCAGCUGUUUAACAAGAUGUGUAACUUGGCAAAUAUGUUAGGAGUGAUAAAUGUAACUAACAUAAUUACAGUAUCCUGCAUUGAUAUUUAAUAAUUGAUUUUUAACUCUCGUGGUAAUCUAAAAAUCACCCCCUCAAAGUAUCAUGAUUUGUAACUAAAUCAAUCUCUCCCCCCACACCCCCCACUUUUCAUUGUGUUUAUAAUUAUCUACAGAUAUAAAAGGACCUACAAAGUUCAGCAGGAUGUUUGUUACAGGGAAAUCUGCGACACAGCACUUUCGAAGAAAGUUCCAAACAGAAGAACUCAGAGGAAGCAGUGAAUGUGUGGGCACAUUUACUUCACUAUUCUCCUGACCCAGAAAAAAGUUGUGAAAACAAAUGACUAAAACAGAGAAUAGUACUAAUAUAAUGUACUCAGGCAGCAUGGUGGCUCCGCAGGUAGUGCUGUUGGAUCUGUGCAGCUUUCCCAGUACGCUCAGGUUAUCUUCCAUAGUCCAAAAAAACGUGUAGCUGAGCUGAUAGGACUUGGGCUGCUAACUGCUAUGUAGCGAAGGCACUGGCUUAUAAUGGGUAUCAUUAUGGAGCGGGUCAUUUAAAUAAACAAUUUGGGCCAUUAGCAAACAGAAACCAAAACGCAAAGUGAAAUUGUAUGAAAUACAAAUCACAGAACCAAACUAAGCCAAAGUAGCAGAUCCUCAGAAACUUCUUAAAGAUUAGACAAGAGAUGCUGACUACAAUAAGCUUAGUUACACUAAUAAGAAAUAUUGGUGAUUAUACAUUAGGAGCAUCUAGAGGUAGACGUGAUUGUGACAAAUGACCUGUCCUGCAGCAAGGAAUUAUUGAAUCUGUUUUAUGAACCGUAUUAUGUGGGGUGGAAAAAUCAUUUGUAUGCAGGCAAAAGUGAGAGCUAGUUGUUUGGUAGAUUAAAAAUAUAUCACACUUCUGAAAACUAAAUUACAGUUAUUUUUUUUAUUUAUAAGGAUUAUCUGAAUAUUAAAAAAUCUCAUUAACUGUGUACAAGUCUUGAAUACUGGAUAUUAUACAAAAUGUGUUGUUGACAUCACAUCUCAGCCAAUGCAAUAAGAAAAGGAUAAGAAAAGGUCUUUAAAAUACAGUGGGAUCCUACAUAUUAUAUGAUCACACAGUCUUAUCAAAGUAGUAUACGUGACCUUGUAAGACUUGCUUCUCACAAAGGACAAAAUGGAUUGCUGGGUCUUAGCGGGAUAUAGAAAUAAAUAAAGUAUUUAUUUAAGUCAGUGUUCCUGUUUCUUCAGGAAACUUACUUUCUUCAGCCUUGUGAAGUUCUUUGACGUCCAGUGCAUUUAUAUUUCUCAGUAUGAGAACUGACCUCCAAUCAGCCCCAUCUGAAGUCCCAAAGGUUCACUACCAGCUGCCUCCUUGAACAUUUUAACUUUCUCCAGCUCCAGUGUCCCAAGUUUCAGGUUUUGCCUCAUACAGUAUUAUAGUUAAAUGAAUGACAAAAGUGUCCCAUAUUUGGAUAUGAGGUCUAAACACAGAGCAAAUGAAAGGCAUUGAAAUCUGGCUGUACAGUAAAGCAGUGGUGUGGAAAAAAUUACAUCCCUUAAAAGUUGAAAGAGUAGCAUGUGUUAAAUAUAUAAUAGUUCCCUCCCCCCAAGAAAUCUGGUAUAUAUUUGCACCACUCCCUCAUCAGCAUCUUAAGAUUUCUCUAUUCUGUGCACGAGCAUACUGUAUGUUCAGUGUUCAACUGCCAUUUGCUUAAAUGAAAACAAAUUGUUAAUUAUUCCUAAACUGAUGUCAAAAGAACAAAAAAAACCUCUUUCUUCCCCAUAAACCAAAUUUCUGUUCAAGCUAUCAUGUAAAUAGUGUUUUUGUAGGUGAUUAUUUUAAUAAAAAAUGAUAAAAUGUA
RNA transcript from Brienomyrus brachyistius, 8147 nucleotides. It is a transcript of the gene named sushi, nidogen and EGF-like domains 1, with no coding region annotated. The transcript has 29 exons. The record is from RefSeq and is a predicted model, not a curated record. Lineage: Eukaryota; Metazoa; Chordata; Actinopteri; Osteoglossiformes; Mormyridae.